Long non-coding RNA from Cavia porcellus (domestic guinea pig), 2269 nucleotides. RefSeq lists it as uncharacterized. The transcript is spliced from 12 exons. The record is from RefSeq and is a predicted model, not a curated record. Lineage: Eukaryota; Metazoa; Chordata; Mammalia; Rodentia; Caviidae.
GCAACCCGAAUGGGGAGGCUGAUGUGGAAGCCUCAAACCCACCUCUCCCCUUCACUGCACCUGAAAGCUUGGGGGAACUCCAACAGUCUGGGUGGAGAUAUCCAGAGUCCUCCAGACAUGCAGAGAGGCCGAUGAGGGCACCCCAGAUCUGCCCAGCUCCUCCUCUGCACACAGAUGGCCAGGCGCGGCAGCAAAACAGGCUGGGCUAGGCUGAUAGUGUGGGCCCGCCCACCGGUCGGGAGCUCAGCAGUUCUCCAAGUGUAACCGGAAUGGGGAGGCUGAUGUGGAAGCCUCAAACCCACCUCUCCCCUUCACUGCACCUGGAAGCUUGGGGGAACUCCAACAGUCUGGGUGGAGAUAUCCAGAGUCCUCCAGACAUGCAGAGAGGCCAAUGAGGGCACCCCAGAUCUGCCCAGCUUCUCCUCUGCACACCGAUGGCCAGUUGCGGCAGCAAAACCUGGAAUUCUAAUAGGCUUUUCAUGAUAAGCACUGUGGCAGAGCUGCAUCUACAAUGAAACAAACAGGAUUUAAAAAUUCCUUUAAAAGAGCAUUGCACACGGCUCAGCUCCCCUGCUGAAACGAAGGUAAAGAUGUACAUCGUUAGGCACACAGCACCAAGUCCCAGGCAAUGAUCCCUCCUGGUCCCCAGCAGGUCUUUUUCCAAGUGUUACAUCCAUGGCGGCUCCUGGAAGACACUGGGCUGUGGCCAGCCGAAUGCGUCCACUCUAUCUAAAGACACAGCUGAAGGGCGUCCUCAAGUACAUUAAGAUUAUGAACAGGGGACCGAGUGCUUCCAUGGAGACUAACUGGGGAGUGUGACUCCAAGCAGACUUGGUCCAGACAGAUGGCGGUGCUCGAUCUUGGCUGUUCACCCCAGUCCUGAUUUCUUGGUCUGGAUCGGGGCUUGGGAACCAGAGCACAUCUCUCCGGCUUUGUCAUUCACCUUGCUACUGUAACUUGCUCUGCACAGUCGAUGUGGAACUCUGGAAUACUGGAGGGGCAUAAAGCACCUUGUUUUCAAGGAGGAUUAACAGCAGCAUGUAAAAAGCAUGUGAGCGAGUUCUCCUUAGUGUUCAGCUGAGGGUCCUGCUGUGCCCCCCUUGUGAUAUCUAUGUGCUACAUGAAUGACGGACCCAUCACACCACAAUGUUUGGCUGCUAGUUGAACACAAGCACUGUGACCCCUCAGCAGUCGGUCCAAAAUCCAAGAUGACUCAGGCACUGAAGGAAGGCACUCCCAGGACUGAAUGGAGGUCGCUGGGCAUGGCCCAGUCAGAUCCAUGGGACCUUGCAUGUAUCCUCUGGUGAUUAGGACACUGAGUGGGGUCUACCCACUGGCAGUGAUGCUCCAAAGCUUCUGCUGUGUGCGCUGGAAAUCAUCUUGCACACCUUCAGCUCCCAGGACUCCACAUGUUACUUUCAAAGGAGGAAAAAUAAGUACAAUAACAUCAGAAAAUAAUUGAAUAACAUUUUUGAAAUUCUGAAAGAAAGUGAUGCCCCUCUGCUAUGCUACCCAGCCUUGGAGUCAGUUGACUAUGGACUGAACCUCUACAAACUGACUCAUUGGUACACUUUCUCCUUCGGCCCUUUCACUACAUCAUGGCCUGGGAACCCAUUAACAAGCAAGACAAAGAAAGAAAAGAAAAUGAAAAAGAAGAAAAGAAGGAAAGAAAAGAAAAAGGAAGAACUUAAAAAUGUACAUUCAAUGGAAUCAGUACACAAGUCUUUAAAAAUAUCAAAAUAACUUUUUGGAAUGCACUAAAUCAAAAACAGAGACAAAACUGUACCACAAUCUUAACAAUAUAUUAAUUUCAUUACUAUAUAUAUCAAAAUAAGACCUUUGUGCUUUUUGUCCAAUCUUACUGCAUUUCCAGAGAUAAAACAACAUGGGAAACAUAAAUGGUCCAUUCUGUGCCAGCAGCCAAUCGAUUCUGCAGCACAUUUCAGCUCUGGGUCACCUGAUUAAAUCCUGACACCAUCUACUUGGAAAUGCCAUCAGCUCCCACAGAUUGAAGAGUUGGUCCCACAGGCUGCCCCAAAAGGACUCAAGGAUACAUACUUAUCAGUUUAUCAUCAAGGCUACUGCAAAGGCUACAGAUGAAGAGGCUACAGAUGCAGGGUGCCUACAUCGACCUGUGAGCUACCUAGAGGCUGUCAACUAUCAGUCAGCUCAAUAAGAUAUGAAAACAAGCAAAAACACUCUUCAUUGUAAACAUUUGAAGGCUUUCAGAAGUUGCACACCAGGAAACGAGGUGGGGACCAAAUAUAUG